Molecule: transfer RNA, 73 nt
Filed under: Camelus dromedarius (Arabian camel)
Lineage: Eukaryota; Metazoa; Chordata; Mammalia; Artiodactyla; Camelidae
Also listed under: 1 other name
Rfam family: tRNA
About the family: Transfer RNA (tRNA) molecules are approximately 80 nucleotides in length.
Source: Rfam by way of RNAcentral
GAUGAUGUAGCUCAAUUAGUAGAGCACAUGCCUAGCAUGCAUGUGGUCCUGGGUUCAAUCCCCAGUACCUCCA